RNAcentral lists this ribosomal RNA (484 nucleotides) under uncultured bacterium. RNAcentral describes it as "partial 16S ribosomal RNA". It matches the Rfam family "Bacterial small subunit ribosomal RNA", at positions 30 to 507 of the family's 1533-position model. The record is from RNAcentral.
AUUGAACGCUGGCGGCAGGCCUAACACAUGCAAGUCGAGCGGAUGAAGGGAGCUUGCUCCUGGAUUCAGCGGCGGACGGGUGAGUAAUGCCUAGGAAUCUGCCUGGUAGUGGGGGAUAACGUCCGGAAACGGGCGCUAAUACCGCAUACGUCCUGAGGGAGAAAGUGGGGGAUCUUUGGACCUCACGCUAUCAGAUGAGCCUAGGUCGGAUUAGCUAGUUGGUGGGGUAAAGGCCUACCAAGGCGACGAUCCGUAACUGGUCUGAGAGGAUGAUCAGUCACACUGGAACUGAGACACGGUCCAGACUCCUACGGGAGGCAGCAGUGGGGAAUAUUGGACAAUGGGCGAAAGCCUGAUUCAGCCAUGCCGCGUGUGUGAAGAAGGUCUUCGGAUUGUAAAGCACUUUAAGUUGGGAGGAAGGGCAGUAAGUUAAUACCUUGCUGUUUUGACGUUACCAACAGAAUAAGCACCGGCUAACUUCGUG